RNAcentral lists this RNase P RNA (395 nucleotides) under Candidatus Peregrinibacteria bacterium. Its description in RNAcentral is "RNase P RNA component class A". It matches the Rfam family "Bacterial RNase P class A". From Rfam's summary of the family: Ribonuclease P (RNase P) is a ubiquitous endoribonuclease, found in archaea, bacteria and eukarya as well as chloroplasts and mitochondria. Its best characterised activity is the generation of mature 5'-ends of tRNAs by cleaving the 5'-leader elements of precursor-tRNAs. The record is from RNAcentral. Lineage: Bacteria; Candidatus Peregrinibacteriota.
AGAUAGUUUGGAGUGAUCACUCCGAUUCCUUUAGGACAUCGGAGAGGAAAGUCCGAGCACCAUGGCAAAUCACAGCCGAUAACAUCGUGCCACCGUAUAUUUAAAACAUACGGUAGGGACAGUGCCACAGAGACAAUACUAGUUCGUUUUUGGCCUUAAAAUCAAAGAUGAACGAAAGGUGAAAAGCCCUAUUCAGUAGGGACAUAUGGCGAAAGCCAUAAACGUUGGAAAACCCUGUGAGGUGCAAGGUGAGAUGGAAAGUUUUAUUCGCCGCCAAUCGCAAAUAACUCUUCUCACCGCUAUAGAUUCCACUUCGGUGGAACUAAGAUAGAUGAUCACAACCCAUCGACAAAAUCGAAGGAACACAGAACUCGGCUUACCCAAACUGUUUAAGA